RNAcentral lists this long non-coding RNA (577 nucleotides) under Callithrix jacchus (white-tufted-ear marmoset). Its description in RNAcentral is "lncRNA (ENSCJAG00000068562.2)". The record is from RNAcentral. Lineage: Eukaryota; Metazoa; Chordata; Mammalia; Primates; Cebidae.
GCUGGAAUCCGGUGUGGAUGAAGGAGCAGGGGAAUUUAUCCUGGGAGAAAUUCCGACCCUCCCACGUUCCUCUGGCCAAUGAAAGGAGUUCCUUAGAACUUCCGCCGAAGUGAUUGACUCCUAGUUUCUUACCUCGUCAGCGAAAUUUAAACGCAAACUUGUUAAAUUUCCCGGAUGGAGAGAGGGGGGAGGGGGCCACAGCACUGGGCUGUUCUUGCCCUUAAAACUACGCGCCCUGUGGACCCGGAAAGAGAACACAUUCCCUCACAGAGAGAUGAACCCCGCUUCCUGCUGCACAGCAGCUGGCCAUUUUGACGAAGACUUCGUCCUGUGAUGCUAAUACCUGGAUCACCUAAGAUCACAAGGUCAGAAGACCUUUGGCCUCCCACCCACCUCGGCCUCCCAAAGUGCUGGGAUUACAGGUGUGAGCCACCAUGCUGGCAUGCUUCUUUCUUUUUUAAUGGCCAAAUAGUACUCCAUUGUGUGUAAGUACCACAUCUUCUUUACCUAUUUAUCUGUUGACAGACUCUGAGGUUGUUUCCAAUGCUUGGCUAUUGUGAACAGUGCUGAAACAAAC